This 468-nucleotide ribosomal RNA is filed under the name uncultured bacterium. Its description in RNAcentral is "partial 16S ribosomal RNA". It matches the Rfam family "Bacterial small subunit ribosomal RNA", at positions 28 to 507 of the family's 1533-position model. The record is from RNAcentral.
GACGAACGCUGGCGGCGUGCUUAACACAUGCAAGUCGAACGGAAAGGCCCUGCUUUUGUUGGGUGCUCGAUUGGCGAACGGGUGAGUAACACGUGAGUAACCUGCCCUUGACUUUGGGAUAACUUCAGGAAACUGGGGCUAAUACCGGAUAGGAGCUUCUGCUGCAUGGUGGGGGUUGGAAAGUUUCGGCGGUUGGGGAUGGACUCGCGGCUUAUCAGCUUGUUGGUGGGGUAGUGGCUUACCAAGGCUUUGACGGGUAGCCGGCCUGAGAGGGUGACCGGCGACAUUGGGACUGAGAUACGGCGCAGACUCCUACGGGAGGCAGCAGUGGGGAGUAUUGCACAAUGGGCGGAAGCCUGAUGCAGAAACGCCGCGUGCGGGAUGACGGCCUUCGGGUUGUAAACCGAUUUCGCCUGUGACGAAGAGUGAGUGACGGUAAUGGGUAAAGAAGCACCGGCUAACUACGUG